This 670-nucleotide ribosomal RNA is filed under the name isidid n. sp. A. Its description in RNAcentral is "partial 16S ribosomal RNA". It matches the Rfam family "Bacterial large subunit ribosomal RNA", at positions 1827 to 2589 of the family's 2925-position model. The record is from RNAcentral. Lineage: Eukaryota; Metazoa; Cnidaria; Anthozoa; Malacalcyonacea; Isididae.
UAAAGGUUGAUCCUGAAGUAUAGAGGGUGAAUUCUGCCCAAUGGUUGUAUAGUGAAACUGAGGACUAACGUCUAAAGCGAAACCCAACUGAAUGGCCGCGGUAACUCUGACCGUGAUAAUGUAGCACAAUAAAUAGCCAAUUAAUUGUUGGCGGGUAUGAAUGGAACCACGAGGGUCUUACUGUCUCAAGAGGAAAGCCGAUGAAAUUAUAAUUGUAGUGAAGAUACUACAUAAACAUUGUAAGACGAAAAGACCCUAUCGAGCUUUACUGGAUACCGAUAGCGUUAAUUUAGAAUGAUCGAUACUAAGUAUCCUAAUUCUAAGUUAAUAAUUUUUGUUGGUAGGACAGUUUAGUUGGGGCGACUACCUUUGAAUAAGAAACGAAGGCGAGCUUAUGGUAUUAUUUAAAAUCUCAUUAGCCUCACAGUGAGGGGGACACCCCUAGCUGGCACACCCCAAAAGGACAUUUGUCCCCACGUAAGGGAUGUGGGCGAUAGUGACCCGAUAUGAUUAUCCAAAAUAAAUAUCGAAAGCGGAUAAAAGCUACCGUAGGGAUAACAGCGUAAUAUUGUCGGAGAGUUCUUAUCGAGGACAGUGUUUGCGACCUCGAUGUUGAAUUGCGGUGCCCUGGUGCUGUAGAAGGUACCUUAGGUUGGUCUGUUCGACCAUG